RNAcentral lists this ribosomal RNA (422 nucleotides) under uncultured bacterium. RNAcentral describes it as "bacterial SSU rRNA". It matches the Rfam family "Bacterial small subunit ribosomal RNA", at positions 358 to 773 of the family's 1533-position model. The record is from RNAcentral.
GGAAUCUUCCGCAAUGGGCGAAAGCCUGACGGAGCGACGCCGCGUGAGCGAUGAAGGCCUUCGGGUUGUAAAGCUCUGUGGGGAGGGAAGAAUAAGUUCAGGCCAAUACCCUGAAUGAUGACGGUACCUCCUUAGCAAGCACCGGCCAACUCUUUGCCAGCAGCCGCGGUAAGACAGAGGGUGCAAACGUUGUUCGGAUUUACUGGGCGUAAAGCGCGUGUAGGCGGCCUUGCAAGUUGGAUGUGAAAGCCCACGGCUCAACCGUGGAAGCGCAUCCAAAACUGCAUCGCUCGAGUCUCGGAGAGGAAGGUGGAAUGCUUGGUGUAGAGGUGAAAUUCGUAGAUAUCAAGCAGAACACCUGCGGCGAAGGCGGCCUUCUGGACGAUGACUGACGCUGAGGCACGAAAGCUUGGGGAGCGAAC